AACGAACGCUGGCGGCGCGUUUUAAACAUGCAAGUCGAACGAGAACCUUGGUGCUUGCAUUGAGGGGACAGUGGCGAACGGGUGAGUAACACGUGGAUAAUCUACCUCUAGGAUGGGGACAACCACUGGAAACGGUGGCUAAUACCAAAUGAUAUGGUUAUUACAUAAGUAGUGAUCAUCAAAGGUGGGGACCUUCGGGCCUAUCGCCUGGAGAUGAGUCCGCGGCCCAUUAGCUUGUUGGUGAGGUAAAGGCUCACCAAGGCGACGAUGGGUAGCCGGCCUGAGAGGGUGAACGGCCACAUUGGGACUGAGACACGGCCCAGACUCCUACGGGAGGCAGCAGUUAAGAAUCUUGCGCAAUGGGCGAAAGCCUGACGCAGCGACGCCGCGUGGACGAUGAAGGCCUUCGGGUUGUAAAGUCCAAUAAG
This 428-nucleotide ribosomal RNA is filed under the name uncultured bacterium. Its description in RNAcentral is "bacterial SSU rRNA". It matches the Rfam family "Bacterial small subunit ribosomal RNA", at positions 29 to 439 of the family's 1533-position model. The record is from RNAcentral.